GGUUAUGGCUCAGCGGUAGAGCACUCGCCUAGCAUGUGCAGGUCCUGGGUUUGAUCCUCAGCACCA
RNAcentral lists this transfer RNA (66 nucleotides) under Marmota monax (woodchuck). RNAcentral's name for it is "tRNA.Ala". Lineage: Eukaryota; Metazoa; Chordata; Mammalia; Rodentia; Sciuridae. The record is from RNAcentral.